RNAcentral lists this ribosomal RNA (449 nucleotides) under uncultured bacterium. RNAcentral describes it as "partial 16S ribosomal RNA". It matches the Rfam family "Bacterial small subunit ribosomal RNA", at positions 338 to 795 of the family's 1533-position model. The record is from RNAcentral.
CCUACGGGUGGCAGCAGUGGGGAAUUUUGGACAAUGGACGCAAGUCUGAUCCAGCCAUUCCGCGUGCAGGACGAAGGCCUUCGGGUUGUAAACUGCUUUUGUACAGAACGAAAAGGUCUCUAUUAAUACUAGGGGCUCAUGACGGUACUGUAAGAAUAAGCACAGGCUAACUACGUGCCAGCAGCCGCGGUAAUACGUAGGGAGCAAGCGUGCAUCGGAAGUGCUGGGCGUAAUGCGUGCGCAGGCGGUGAAAUCCCCGGGCUCAACCUGGGAACUGCAUUUGUGACUGUAUAGCUGGAGUGCGGCAGAGGGGGAUGGAAUUCCGCGUGUAGCAGUGAAAUGCGUAGAUAUGCGGAGGAACACCGAUGGCGAAGGCAAUCCCCUGGGCCUGCACUGACGCUCAUGCACGAAAGCGUGGGGAGCAAACAGGAUUAGAUACCCGUGUAGUC